UGAGGAAUCUUGCGCAAUGGGGGAAACCCUGACGCAGCAACGCCGCGUGAGCGAAGAAGGCCUUCGGGUCGUAAAGCUCUGUCUAGUGGGAAAAAAGUCCUGGUGUAAAUAGCUCCAGGAUCUGAUGGUACCGCUGGAGGAAGCACCGGCUAACUCCGUGCCAGCAGCCGCGGUAAUACGGAGGGUGCAAGCGUUGUUCGGAAUUAUUGGGCGUAAAGGGCGUGUAGGCGGUUUGGUAAGUCAGAUGUGAAAGCCCUGGGCUUAACCCAGGAAGUGCAUUUGAAACUACCAGACUUGAGUAUGGGAGAGGAGAGUGGAAUUCCCAGUGUAGAGGUGAAAUUCGUAGAUAUUGGGAGGAACAUCCGUGGCGAAGGCGACUCUCUGGACCAAUACUGACGCUGAGACGCGAAAGCGUGGGGAGCAAACAGG
This 429-nucleotide ribosomal RNA is filed under the name uncultured Desulfobacterium sp. Its description in RNAcentral is "bacterial SSU rRNA". It matches the Rfam family "Bacterial small subunit ribosomal RNA", at positions 355 to 776 of the family's 1533-position model. The record is from RNAcentral. Lineage: Bacteria; Pseudomonadati; Thermodesulfobacteriota; Desulfobacteria; Desulfobacterales; Desulfobacteriaceae.